GGGCGCGGUGGAUUGGGAUAUCCUGCGCGGCUGGGGGCCGGGCAUCGUGCUGGGCGCCGUGCUGGGAGUGCUGGUGGCGUCCAGCCUGCGCUCG
RNAcentral lists this transfer RNA (94 nucleotides) under Cribrihabitans marinus. RNAcentral's name for it is "tRNA-Pro". Lineage: Bacteria; Pseudomonadati; Pseudomonadota; Alphaproteobacteria; Rhodobacterales; Paracoccaceae. The record is from RNAcentral.